AACGUAGGACGCAAGCGUUAUCCGGAGUUACUGGGCGUAAAGCGCGGGCAGGCGGUCUUGCCAGUCUGAUGUGAAAUCUCCUCGCUCAACGGGGAGCAGCCAUUGGAAACUACAAGACUGGAGUCUGGCAGAGGUAGGCGGAAUUCCGGGUGGAGUGGUGAAAUGCGCAGAUAUCAGGAGGAACACCGAUGGCGAAGGCAGGUCUCUGGGCAUUAACUGACGCUGAGGAGCGAAAGCAUGGGGAGCGAACAGG
This 253-nucleotide ribosomal RNA is filed under the name uncultured bacterium. Its description in RNAcentral is "partial 16S ribosomal RNA". It matches the Rfam family "Bacterial small subunit ribosomal RNA", at positions 524 to 776 of the family's 1533-position model. The record is from RNAcentral.